This 554-nucleotide ribosomal RNA is filed under the name Colletotrichum sp. 1 ONH-2014. Its description in RNAcentral is "eukaryotic LSU rRNA". The stretch from base 203 to 356 matches the Rfam family "5.8S ribosomal RNA". The record is from RNAcentral. Lineage: Eukaryota; Fungi; Ascomycota; Sordariomycetes; Glomerellales; Glomerellaceae.
UAACCUGCGGAGGGAUCAUUACUGAGUUACCGCUCUAUAACCCUUUGUGAACAUACCUAACCGUUGCUUCGGCGGGCAGGGGAAGCCUCUCGCGGGCCUCCCCUCCCGGCGCCGGCCCCACCACGGGGACGGGGCGCCCGCCGGAGGAAACCAAACUCUAUUUACACGACGUCUCUUCUGAGUGGCACAAGCAAAUAAUUAAAACUUUUAACAACGGAUCUCUUGGUUCUGGCAUCGAUGAAGAACGCAGCGAAAUGCGAUAAGUAAUGUGAAUUGCAGAAUUCAGUGAAUCAUCGAAUCUUUGAACGCACAUUGCGCUCGCCAGCAUUCUGGCGAGCAUGCCUGUUCGAGCGUCAUUUCAACCCUCAAGCACCGCUUGGUUUUGGGGCCCCACGGCACACGUGGGCCCUUAAAGGUAGUGGCGGACCCUCCCGGAGCCUCCUUUGCGUAGUAACUAACGUCUCGCACUGGGAUUCGGAGGGACUCUUGCCGUAAAACCCCCCAAUUUUUUACAGGUUGACCUCGGAUCAGGUAGGAAUACCCGCUGAACUUAA